This 287-nucleotide unclassified non-coding RNA is filed under the name Hevea brasiliensis (rubber tree). Lineage: Eukaryota; Viridiplantae; Streptophyta; Magnoliopsida; Malpighiales; Euphorbiaceae. The record is from RNAcentral.
GGACACCUAAGAAUGUCAUGCUGAGAAGGCACAGAUUCAUCAUUUAGGCCUCUGAAGAAGAAGUCCAUCUUUAUCAGGAAGCAAGUUUGCCUGCUUCUGCAGUGAAAAUCAAGAGGAGAAAGGCAAGAAUUGAGAGGAAAGUGUCAAUGGAGAGAAGCAAAUAAUUGGAGGAAGAGGAAGGAAUCAAAAGAAAUUAGGUGAGAAUGAAGAAAACGAGGGAGAGAUGGUACUUGUUUAUUCAUUUCGGUAGAGAGAUAUAGUAAACGACGCCGUGCUUAGCACACGCC